AGAGGGUGCGAGCGUUAAUCGGAAUUACUGGGCGUAAAGGGCGCGUAGGCGGUUAUUUAAGUUGGCUGUGAAAGACCCGGGCUUAACCUGGGACGGCCAGUCAAAACUGGAUAACUAGAGUGCAGUAGAGGAAAGCGGAAUUUCCGGUGUAGCGGUGAAAUGCGUAGAUAUCGGAAGGAACACCCGUGGCGAAGGCGGCUUUCUGGGCUGCUACUGACGCUGAGGCGCGAAAGCGUGGGGAGCAAACAGGAUUAGAUACCCUGGGUAGUCCACGCUGUAAACGAUGAGUACUAGCUGACGGGAGCCCAAUGAGCUUUCGGUGGCGUAGCAAACGCGCUAAGUACUCCGCCUGGGGGAGUACGACCGCAAGGUUA
Molecule: ribosomal RNA, 374 nt
Filed under: uncultured organism
Description: partial 16S ribosomal RNA
Rfam family: Bacterial small subunit ribosomal RNA
Source: RNAcentral